This 713-nucleotide ribosomal RNA is filed under the name uncultured bacterium. Its description in RNAcentral is "bacterial SSU rRNA". It matches the Rfam family "Bacterial small subunit ribosomal RNA", at positions 28 to 737 of the family's 1533-position model. The record is from RNAcentral.
GAUGAACGUUAGCGGCAGGCCUAAUACAUGCAAGACGAACGGUAAGAUUUGUAGCAAUACGAAUCCUAGAGUGUCGUACGGGUGCGUAACACGUAUGCAACCUACCUAUAACAGGAGGAUAGCUCGGGGAAACUCGAAUUAACCCUCCAUAACAUAAUGAUGUGGCAUCACAUUAUUAUUAAAACUCCGGUGGUUAUAGAUGGGCAUGCGUCUGAUUAGUUAGUUGGUGAGGUAACGGCUCACCAAGACGAUGAUCAGUAGGGGAACUGAGAGGUUGAUCCCCACACUGGCACUGAGAUACGGGCCAGACUCCUACGGGAGGCAGCAGUAGGGAAUAUUGGUCAAUGGAUGCAAGUCUGGACCAGCCAUGCCGCGUGCAGGAAGAAGGCCUUCUGGGUUGUAAACUGCUUUUGUCAGGGGAUAAAACACUCGUGCGCGAGUAAUUGCAGGUACCUGAUGAAUAAGCCACGGCUAACUACGUGCCAGCAGCCGCGGUAAUACGUAGGUGGCGAGCGUUGUCCGGAUUUAUUGGUUUAAAAGGGUGCGUAGGCGGCUUUGUAAAGUCGGUGGUGAAAUAUCUCAGCUUAACUGAGAGGGUGCCAUUGAUACUGCAGAGCUUGAGUACAGACGAGGUAGGCGGAAUUGACGGUGUAGCGGUGAAAUGCAUAGAUAUCGUCAAGAACUCCGAUAGUGAAGACAGCUUACUAGACUGU